RNAcentral lists this ribosomal RNA (164 nucleotides) under Impatiens stenosepala. Its description in RNAcentral is "5.8S ribosomal RNA". It matches the Rfam family "5.8S ribosomal RNA". From Rfam's summary of the family: 5.8S ribosomal RNA (5.8S rRNA) is a component of the large subunit of the eukaryotic ribosome. It is transcribed by RNA polymerase I as part of the 45S precursor that also contains 18S and 28S rRNA. The record is from RNAcentral. Lineage: Eukaryota; Viridiplantae; Streptophyta; Magnoliopsida; Ericales; Balsaminaceae.
AUAACGACUCUCGGCAACGGAUAUCUCGGCUCUCGCAUCGAUGAAGAACGUAGCAAAAUGCGAUACUUGGUGUGAAUUGCAUAAUCCCGUGAACCAUCGAGUUUUUGAACGCAAGUUGCGCCAGAAGCCAUUCGGUUGAGGGCACGUCUGCCUGGGCGUCUCGC